GGCCCUUUAGCUCAGUGGUUAGAGCUGGCGACUCAUAAUCGUACGGUCACCGGUUCAAGUCCGGUAGGGGCCACCA
This 76-nucleotide transfer RNA is filed under the name Escherichia coli. RNAcentral describes it as "tRNA-Ile". It matches the Rfam family "tRNA". Rfam says of the family: Transfer RNA (tRNA) molecules are approximately 80 nucleotides in length. Their secondary structure includes four short double-helical elements and three loops (D, anti-codon, and T loops). The record is from RNAcentral. Lineage: Bacteria; Pseudomonadati; Pseudomonadota; Gammaproteobacteria; Enterobacterales; Enterobacteriaceae. RNAcentral also lists the same sequence under 1 other name.